Molecule: ribosomal RNA, 526 nt
Filed under: uncultured bacterium
Lineage: Bacteria
Description: bacterial SSU rRNA
Rfam family: Bacterial small subunit ribosomal RNA
Source: RNAcentral
AAUAGAUACCCUGGUAGUCCACGCCGUAAACGAUGAGUGCUAAGUGUUAGAGGGUUUCCGCCCUUUAGUGCUGCAGCUAACGCAUUAAGCACUCCGCCUGGGGAGUACGGCCGCAAGGCUGAAACUCAAAGGAAUUGACGGGGGCCCGCACAAGCGGUGGAGCAUGUGGUUUAAUUCGAAGCAACGCGAAGAAUCUUACCAGGUCUUGACAUCCUCUGCCAACCCUAGAGAUAGGGCGUUCCCCUUCGGGGGACAGAGUGACAGGUGGUGCAUGGUUGUCGUCAGCUCGUGUCGUGAGAUGUUGGGUUAAGUCCCGCAACGAGCGCAACCCUUGAUCUUAGUUGCCAGCAUUCAGUUGGGCACUCUAAGGUGACUGCCGGUGACAAACCGGAGGAAGGUGGGGAUGACGUCAAAUCAUCAUGCCCCUUAUGACCUGGGCUACACACGUGCUACAAUGGAUGGUACAAAGAGCUGCGAACCCGCGAGGGUAAGCGAAUCUCAUAAAGCCAUUCUCAGUUCGGAUUGU